CCUACGGGUGGCUGCAGUGGGGAAUAUUGGGCAAUGGGCGCAAGCCUGACCCAGCAACGCCGCGUGAAGGAAGAAGGCUUUCGGGUUGUAAACUUCUUUUCUCAGGGACGAAGCAAGUGACGGUACCUGAGGAAUAAGCCACGGCUAACUACGGGCCAGCAGCCGCGGAAAUACGUAGGUGGCAAGCGUUAUCCGGAUUUACUGGGUGUAAAGGGCGUGUAGGCGGGGACGCAAGUCAGAUGUGAAAACCACGGGCUCAACCUGUGGCCUGCAUUUGAUACGGGUUUUAUUGAGUACUGGAGAGGCAGACGGAAUUCUUAGUGUAGCGGUGAAAUGCGUAGAUAUUAGGAGGAACACCAGUGGCGAAGGCGGUCUGCUGGACAGCAACUGACGCUGAGGCGCGAAAGCGUGGGGAGCAAACAGGAUUAGAUACCCGGGUAGUC
RNAcentral lists this ribosomal RNA (443 nucleotides) under uncultured bacterium. Its description in RNAcentral is "partial 16S ribosomal RNA". It matches the Rfam family "Bacterial small subunit ribosomal RNA", at positions 338 to 795 of the family's 1533-position model. The record is from RNAcentral.